UUCAACGUGUUAGCCAGGAUGGUCUCGAUCUCCUGACCUCGUGAUCCACCCGUCUCGGCCUCCCAAAGUGCUGGGAUUACAGGCUUGAGCCACCACGCCCGGCCAACCUCUUUCUAGAUUGAUUGAAGCCAUUCAUAUAUUUCUAUUUCUCAGGGUUUUAUAUUACUUAUCCUAGCAUAUAUAGAAGUGUGUAUAUGGUUUAGAUAUCGGUAUUGUGUGUAUGUUUAUGGACAUACACACAAACUUAGAAAAAUGAGCAAAAGUCAUGAAAAAUAGUUUACAGAAAAAGAUAAACAAAUGGUCCUUCUAUAAUUAUGAAAAGAUGUUCAACUUCCCUCAUAUAAGAGAACUUCCCUCAUAAUAAGAGAAAUGCAAAUGAAAGCUGCAGAGAGAUUCCAGCUCUCACCCAUUAGACAGCAGAUAUUCAAAAAGCUUGACAAGGCUAUAAGGAAAAGUGCCUCUCAUACUGUGCUGGUUAGAGUGCAAAAUUGCACAGUGCCUACAGAGAGAAAUCUGGCAAAAUCUAACAAAACUACAUAUUAAUUUUCCCUUUGACCUAGAUAUCUCCCUUCUGAAACUUUACCUUGAAGUUUGUAACAAAUAUGAAGCAACAUACGUAUGAGAUUAUUCACUGCAGCAUUCCAGAUAAUAGCAAAAUGUUAUUUACAACCUAAAUGCUUAUCCAUAGGAGAUGAAUGUACUAAACUAGUACGACUGUGCAAUGGAAAACAAUAAAACUGUACAAAAAUCAGGAAGAUCUCCAAGAAGUCAUCUUUAGAAGAUGUAUACGAGGAUGAAGAGGAAUGGAUAAGAAUGAGUAAGCCUUUUCAAAAAUAUUUUGACUUUUGAAAUGUAAGUAUUUUACAUAUUAUUCAAAUAUGUAAUAAUAUUUUAUUAUUAAAAUAAAAUAAAACCCAGUAAAAAAAUUUGAAAGCAAACAGAAUCAAAUGAACCUAAUUUAUAUUGAUAAUAUAAGCACACAGUAAAAAAUUCAGAUAAAUUUUGAACAAAGUACUCCCUACAUAUGCUAAAAAUUAUUGUGGAAAAGUCUGUUGGGAAAUCAGAUAUCUGCACAGUCUCAAAGUAUCACCCCACAGAUUGCUGGUUAAUUACAAAGGGGAAAAGACAGUUUUGCAGUAAGUGUACUGGCAGACACCACCUUAACCAAUAAAAAAAAAAAAAAAAAA
Piliocolobus tephrosceles (Ugandan red Colobus) is the source of this 1187-nucleotide long non-coding RNA. RefSeq lists it as uncharacterized. The record is from RefSeq and is a predicted model, not a curated record. The transcript is spliced from 2 exons. NCBI's taxonomy places the organism in Eukaryota, Metazoa, Chordata, Mammalia, Primates, Cercopithecidae.